UAGAUAGAUGACAGAUAGAUAGAUCUAUUAAUUUAUGUAUCUUCCUGGGAAGGAUCUCUAGUCUGUAAUUCCUAAGGUUCUUGCUAUUUUGUGCCGCGGCUUCGGUGUCCUCUGGCCUCUGAGAACGGUUGUCUACAGUGGAUGGGCUCAAGCAGAGGAAAAAAACACUGAGGCAGUGUAAAGAGUCAAAGUUAAUUGUAGGGCAAGGCCACUGGGAAGAUGGAAAGGAGCUGAAAGGAAAAUGAAGGAGGAACCAGGAGAACAGCUUGGAACCCGACCUUUCACAAGGUCGGUGAGGCCACAUACGGCAGAAGGGGAGGGGUGAGCUCAAGGCAGCCUCCUCAGGAGCAUGCCUCUCCCUCUUCCUCAUCCCUGGGGUCCUGGCCCCUGAGGAUGCUGUGCUUUUAAUCCCAGAAGGUGGCUGCCUCACUCAAGUGUGUGUGUGGCGGGCACUGACCUUGCACAGUACUAAAAGGAUAUAGUUUCCCAAGUUAAGGCCAACAAGCCAUUCAAGCCCUCUUAGGAGAGCUUAUUUACCUUCCGCACACUGCCAUGGGUGCGUGCUGCGUCUGUGCAUCUGUGUGUGUGUGUGCGCGUGUGUGUGCAUUGUGUGUGCCUGUGGUGGAUGUGUGUAGUGUAUUGCGCUUUUCCUGUGUAUGUGUAUGUAUGUGUGAGGUUUCUGUGUGGGAUGUGUGUAUGUGUGGUGUGUGUGUCUGUUUUAGUCUAUGUGUGGUGUGUCUGUGUAUCCAUGUGUGUAUGUGUGUGUGUGAUGUGUGCUUAGCCUGUCUGUGUGGUGUGUCUGUGUACCGUGUGUAUGUGUGAUGUGUGUGUGGUUUAUAUGUCUGUGUGUGUGUGGUCUUUGUGUGUCUAGGUUUUAGUCUAUGUGUGGUGUGUCUGUGUAUCUGUGUGUAUGUGUAUGUGUGUGUGUGUGUGUUUAGCAUGUCUAUGUGACGUGUGUUUGUGUAUCCAUGUGUAUGUGUGUGAUGUGUGUUUAGCAUGUCUGUGUGACAUGUGUGUAUGUGUUUUUGUAUGUGUGUGCCAGUGUACAUGCAUAUAUGUACACAGACACAUGGACGCCAGAGUUCAUGUAGGCAUCUCCCAUGAUUGCUCCAUGCCAUACACAUCCGGACAGACUCACCACUUGACCUUGGGCUGCCUGUUGGCCUGUCUAGGCGGCUGACCUGCCUGGGGGUCCUGCUCCACUAUCUCCCUGGGUGAUGUCACAUGCUUUAAGGGGGGGUGUGUGUGGCAAAGCAUCUUACCAGGGAGCCAUGUCCCUAACUCACCAGCCGAGGCUUUACAGCCUUGGUCCUGUGUGCUGGAACCAGCAGGCAGGAUCAGGGUGUGUGUGCCUUCCCUGAGCACACCAUAUCUGUCAGUGGAGUCAACCUCACAGAACCUGGGGUCCAGAAACCAGCGGGCCCCAAGACAGGCUGAGGACAGGCUGAGGACAGGCAGAGGACAGGCAGAGGACAGGCUGAGGACAGGCAGAGGACAGGCUGAGGACAGGCUGAGGACAGGCUGAGGACAGGCUGAGGACAGGCAGGGGACAGGCUGAGGACAGGCAGGGGACAGGCUGAGGACAGGCUGAGGACAGGCUGAGGACAGGCUGAGGACAGGCAGGGGACAGGCUGAGGACAGGCUGAGGACAGGCUGAGGACAGGCAGGGGACAGGCUGAGGACAGGCUGAGGACAGGCAGGGGACAGGCUGGAAGCAAGAUGGCAAAGAAACAACUCUUAGGCGUCUCCCUCCUGCCUUGAUGGUGUGUGGGAUAACUGAGGGAACUGUGAAACCGGGACACAGCUAGCCAGGGAGACCCAGGAGGCUGUAGCCAGGGACGGCCGCUGUCCACCAUGGUGGGGCCAGCUCCGGGGGUCUCCCUGCAUGGGUGCCUGCCCAUUGCUCCCGGAGGCAGUGGGGACUACAGGGAACUGGGCUCGGCAUGAACUUGCACUUCGGAGUGUUAAUGUGCUUUAGGAAUUGUGUGAACGCUUGUUCCAGGAGUCAGUCUGCAGAGGUUUCCUGUGAGCCUGUGAGUCACCCAGAACUUGAUUUCCGCCUCAUAAACAGUUGCCUCAGCGCCCUAAUCCCAGCUUUCCUCGCAAAGGCUCGUGGUAAUGGUGCAAAGGGAAGAACAGGGAAACGUAGGGUGGCUGGGGGUCCCGAUGCAGCAGGGCAUCUCCUGUCGGCUGUUCCCCAACAGCGUAGGGUUUGCCCGAGCGCGGCAGCCCCGUCGGGCCGACGUGAGGAAGCGGAAGCUGCAUCCGGCUAGGCUCUUUGAGCAGGACCUGUCUGCUCUACCAAGACGUGAUGAAUUAGACACAGCUAGCAAGGUAGGAGCUAAGAAACUGAACAAAACCUGCACCCUUCUCCUCAAGAGGAAGAGGAGGCAGGAAGUGCAGGGACUGAAGAUUGGCUGGGAGCUAACAGCACUGAUUACUCUUCCGGAGGAACUGGACUCCUACCAAUCACCUGAUUGUAAGACUCAAGGCCCAGUGUCUUCUGGUCCCCUGAGCACCUGCACACGCAUGGCAUGUGUGUGCACAGACGCACGUAACAGUCUAAAGACGUCAAAAAAAGACUGAAAACCAAAAAGGUGAAAGACCUGUAGAAUCUUUGUUUCUCUUUUUGAAUUUUGCAGCUCUGGGGCUGGAACCGUGGCGUCACCAACGGUAGGCUUGCUUUGCCUGAGUCAAGUCCCCGCUCUGUGGUAUCUUGAUUUGUUGUUUUUGUUUUGUCGGUCGGGGGUUUUGAUUUGUUUGUUUGCGACAAUGUCUCACAUAGCCCGGGCUGGCCCUAAUCUUGCCUGCCAGGAGCCAAAGCUAUCUACGGAAGCCAAAGUCAAAGCUAUCUAGUGGAGACAAAGGUAGUUACUGAAGCCAAAGCCAAGUAGAGAGCAAAGGUCAUUUAGUGGAGACCUAAAGCUAUUUAGUGAAAGAGUUAUCUAAGACCCUAAAUCAUGGGUGACAGAUUAUGAGGACAUCCGUCUGUUAGAGCAUCCGUAAGAUAUCUUAAGAGAACAUCCUUACGGUAUCUUGCAGGUGCAAUAUUUAACCCAUGAAGGCAUCUUCCUAUCUCCUGCAGCAGUAGAUUAACCUUCCCCCUUUCCUGCCUUCUCCCUAUAUAAGUGAGAUAAAAAUUUCUAAUAAACGGAAGCCUUGAUCAGAUGAACAGACUUGGCUUCAUUCCCGCAUCUCUUGUUCCUCCCCUCCCCCAUUCCUUCCAAUCUCCUCCUUAGGAACCCUGUUGAAGCCCCGAGGGCCAGGGGCACUUGCCCUAGCUCCUUAAAAUGGUUUUGAACUUUCGAUGCCCCUGGGUCUCAUCCCAAGCACUGGGCUUACACUGUGUCGGUGUAUGUGGGGCUGCGGGAGGGAACCCAGCGUCUCCAGCACGCAGAGCAAGGCCUGGUCCUCUCAUUCUGCGCACUGGCUGCAGUCCUGGCAGGAAGCAGAGCGCUGACCUUUCGCCCUGCCCCUCAGAAUGUCUGUAGGACUGACACAGCAUUGACCAAGCAAGAAGUAGCUGAGGACAUCAGGUGGGUGCGCCUGGACUCUCAGGAGACUUUGUUUGCCAGCUACCCAGGCUGGUGAUUCCCAUCAGCGCUCCUGAAGAUGUUUGGGGCUUUGGUGGGUCUACCUACGUGGCUGGAGGCAGCUGGAGUUCUGAAUAAAGAGAUUGUUUUCCUCCAUUAGGGACAGUGUGAGAGUCAGAAUGGAAUCCACCAAGAAAAUCUGCCUUGUUUCCAAAUAUUUGUUACAUCAUUAGCGGGUUUUGUAAAGUCUUGUUUAACUAGACAUGGAAAACAAUCUCUUCUGCCUGGUGUUGUGAGAUUAAACACAAGAAAAGAAAACAUAGCGAUACAACUCAAAAGUGGGGAGAGAUGGUGGACGUCUCUGUCAUCGGGCCUAGGAGACUGGCAGUUCCUCGCCACACGCCAACCUGCACCACCGCUUAGACUCGAUGUCCCUUCUCCAGACCCAUGAUCAAAAAAAUGCACUGUGAUGGAAGACCAGCAAAGCACCUGGGCCCUGCCUCUGGCUUUGGAGCUUUACCUAAGCUUGUCACUCAGAGAAACUGAGGUUGACAAAUCCACGUAAAUGCCGAUCAGAGAAAAGGCGAGAAUGAAAAUGUGGCUCAGUAGAAGGGGCGAGAGUCUUAAAGCAGAGGAGACAGCAAGUCAGUGUAGCGAUGUCCACUGUGGAAUGGCCUCACCUUGUGGAGUGGGGCCUGCGUGACUGUGUGCUGAGAGAUGGAGCUUAGGGUCAGAGAUGCCGAUUUCAGUGCCCUGAGAUCUGCUCUCCGCCCUGCCAUGGGCAUGAAUGUUGAACCAUCUUCUGUAUCCAUGUGAUGUAAGGAAUGCUCCACAGUUAUCCCAGAUUGGCUAAUAAUGUUGCUGACAGCCUGGGCUGGCCAAAAGAGAUGUAGGCAGAAUGGAAGUUCCCCAGCUUGGGGGUGUCUGAGGAUGGACCACAAGGAGAAGAGAAGGAGGAGGAUGGAGAGGAGCCAGGAAGUCACCAUGGAAACUGCCUCCUCGUCGUUCAGGGCACCUCAGUGCUCACUCUUCCCACGCUGACAUGAGUUUAGUUGUUUAGAAGAUGUUUUUUUCCUGCUGCUGAGGAUCCGUGGCACCGUGAGGAGCUGGGCGCUGGAGUUUGGCCACUUCCACUGGUCUCUUCAUUCCUCCUCUCCCCCCUUUCUGUUUCAAUUACUUCCCACCACCAAAUUUUAUGACUGACUAAGUCCUGACUGUUCAAAGUGGAAAGCUUCGGUGAUUUAGCUGUUUGGGUGCAAACGGGGGUAGAGCUGUGUUAUUCGUCCUCUGGUCUUUAACCACGUGCUGGAUUUAACCGUGUGCCUGGAUGCCAGCGCUCUGGGUGGGAAUGGAGAACUUGCUCCUCUGGCCACAUCAAGUGGAGUUUCUGCUCUGAAUCCAAUUACUUCUGAUGUUAUUUUUAGUUUUUUGAAGCUCUCCACCACUGAUUUUUGGUGGAAUUGGAAGCCACACGGCAAAGCCUGUCACAAAAAAUACAUGCUUGGAUAAUUGCUGCUGGGCCCUGGGGGCUAACGAGGGAGCUACCAGCUGGGGAAGUUUUUCUACAAAAUACCCCAGGCAGGAAGAGGCUCCGGCAGAGCUGCGCCACAGAUUCUUUCCCUGUAGACAAACUUUCACCAGGAGUUGGACUCCGACGAUUAGUGCUUUUUUUCCCGAGCAGCCUCAUUGUUGGGUAAAAGACAUGCCUGGUGCAUUUGUCUAAGCAUUGUAUGAUGAUUUUAUACACAUACACACCGUCACACUAACUCUGUCCGCCCGGCUGGGUGGAGAGACACCUAGGAGUUUCAUCAGCCAGGCCUCUGGCUGCACCCACAGGGUGUUUCCAGACACGAGGUCAUGACGGCUGGCUGACGGAACCUAAAUUCCCUGGGAGGGUCAGGCUAUGAGGUGCCCGUUAGACUGGGCCUCUUCUAGCUUCUCCUUGCUAUGGCUGCUCUCUGCUCUAUCUGCCAUCCUGGGAGCUGCUCUGUUCCCUCACGCCCUCCCUGCCCUGCAGACUGACACUUCUGAAACCAUGAGCAAAGCAAAUCUUCAUUCUUAUGUAGCUUCUGUUAAAUAACUGGUGACAGAGAUAAAAGUAUGACAUAUACAUGCAAACACACACGCACUCAUACAUGCAAACUCACACAUGCACUUACACACAUGUACACACAAGCACACAUAUGUACUAAAAAUGUGUAUAUUCACACAGACAUAUUCUUUUCCAAACCAAAAACAAAUUGUCUCUUGAUGGUGUAACCAUGAACAGAAAAAGUCAUUCCACACAGUGCAAAUCUCUACUUGAGUCUCAACUUAGAAAUGUGAGCCAGCGAGCUGUGCAGCCAGCCUAACGCGCGUGACUAACAUAUCACUGGCAGGGCUCCGCCUGUGGCUCCUUCUCAGGAAGGCUGGAGGAAGGCUGGACAGGCAGAGUCAAGGCCAGCAAGUGCCUGGCUUGGGGAUAAGCUUCUGGCUUCCUGCUUCCAGCUUCCAGCUUCCUGCCUCCUGCCUCCUGCUCCCAGCUUCCAGUCUCCUCAAAGCAGCCUGGCUUCUAGAACCAAAGCCACACCGACAAACUCGAAGGGUUUACUGCUCUGUGCAGCCCUGCUGUGACAGCCCCCGGCUUCGGUUUUGUGUCUGCCAGAUCAACCUUCCAUCUUCAAGGCCUUCUCAGGAUUUUCCCACUGUGGGACACCAACUUUGUGGGAGCCCCUGCCCUUCAAGAAAGGAGUCCCUAAGCCAAGAAAGCAAACAGGGCAAGAACCUGCCCGGCUCCCAGCUUCCCAGCGGUGUUCAUGGGAAGUGUCCUGACUGCUGUCCCGGGCAGGAAGACCAGCUCGCCUACCCAGAGAAAGAGCGAACGCCUCACACAGCCCUGCCCAACUGUCUCAGCCACGCAGCACAGACACACAGCAACUGAGCCUGCUUCCUCAAGUGGCACUCAUCCCCUUCCCUUGUAAACCUUUAGAAGAGCUGCUUUGACCGCAUGGCUGCCAAGUCUUACUUCAGACCCUCAGAAUAGUGCUUGCUAUGGUCUGGGCAGGCCCUUUGCCUGAAGGAUUCGGCUCAGUGUCUCUCUCUCAAAGUCCCUCUCCUCGCCUUUCCUAACACCUGAUAAAUGUUAAUCUCUCCUUAGUUAAUUCGUAAGCACUUCAUUCUCUCCCAGUGUCCCCUUUGUUAGUGAGAAUCAAGCCCUUCAAUUUAUUCUAGUCAUCAGUUCUCUCUGUCCUGCCCUCACCGUCACCCUCUCCUCCCUCACCCUCUCCUCCCUCACCUUCUCUCACCAGACCUCACAUGGCCCAGCCUGGCUUUGAACUUGUAGCCCUCCUUCUUCAUCCCCCAGGUGCUGGUAUUACAGGCCUGUGACAUCAUGCCUGGUUUUUAUUUUUGGUAUACCCAUCAUGUGCCAGGCAACUUCUAUCCUGUGGAAAUAAUGAAGAAUAAGGCAAAAAUGAUGCAAAGCAAGUGAAAUAAAGCCUCCUUUGAAGGUUGGAGUCUAGUGGAAAGAUUGGCAUUGUUCCACAGUUAUAAAGUCAACAAGACAGUUAGUUACAACUAGUACCUGGUGUUUGGGGGAGACCAGAGAAUGUCCUCAGUGUGGUACAGCCUGAGAUGAAUCAAGAGAAGGGAACGGGAAGGCGGUCACAAGGCCAAGGAGGAGCUCCUGUGACAGGGACGGAAGCACAAGACCUACGCGUGAUGAGCCGCCUGAGCUCGUGACGCCAGGGCGAGCCCCAGCUCAGUCUAGCCGGUGUGUACCGUUUCCCACAUGAGCUCUCACACCCCGUUUAACCCAAAGAAUGUGCCCGGGAUAAAGGAGCCAGCAGAGUGUGUGUGCGAGUGGAAGGAGCGUGUGAUGGAACCCCAGCAAGGCAGAAGAGGACCCCCAUUGCCACAGCACCGUGGGGGGGGGGCUGGCAAUGACCCUGUCACCUUGAGCGCCUGAGCACACUGAUCGGCACCCACAGGCUGGUGGUCACCAGGUCUCACUGUGCUCUGUGCACACUUAUGCAACCGCCCAACCAAAAUCCCUGUUUCUGUCUUCCACGACCCUGUCCUCCAGGCUUCCCCACCUCAGCCAACGCCUGCUUCUCCGUCCAGAUGCUCAGGCCGAGGCCCUGUGCUCGGCUCCCUUCUGCUCAGCCCGCCAGUGCUUACCUGCUGCUGCCCGGGGCUGUCCCUGGAGCCCGCUGACCCGAGAGGCCGGGGCGGACACACAUCAUACCCUCCUCUGCUAUGCCACCUCUUACCCGGCUGCAGACAGGCCUG
Molecule: long non-coding RNA, 7802 nt
Organism: Psammomys obesus (fat sand rat)
Lineage: Eukaryota; Metazoa; Chordata; Mammalia; Rodentia; Muridae
Exons: 3
Source: RefSeq, a predicted model, not a curated record